GCUACGGCCAUAUCAGCCUGGGUACGCCCGAUCUCGUCUGAUCUUGGAAGCUAAGCAGGGUCGGGCCUGGUUAGUACUUGGAUGGGAGACCGCCUGGGAAUACCAGGUGCUGUAAGCA
RNAcentral lists this ribosomal RNA (118 nucleotides) under Salmo salar (Atlantic salmon). Lineage: Eukaryota; Metazoa; Chordata; Actinopteri; Salmoniformes; Salmonidae. The record is from RNAcentral.